RNAcentral lists this non-coding RNA (29 nucleotides) under Mus musculus (house mouse). Lineage: Eukaryota; Metazoa; Chordata; Mammalia; Rodentia; Muridae. The record is from RNAcentral.
UCCCAGCUACAUUUUUAUUCUUGAUCAUU